This 1049-nucleotide long non-coding RNA is filed under the name Callithrix jacchus (white-tufted-ear marmoset). RNAcentral describes it as "lncRNA (ENSCJAG00000078833.1)". Lineage: Eukaryota; Metazoa; Chordata; Mammalia; Primates; Cebidae. The record is from RNAcentral.
AUGCUGUUUGUGGCACGCAGCCUUUUUCCAGGCGCCGCCCCUGCCACCGUCUCCACCUUGUACCUGUGCGGCAGCAGCUGGACAGCGCCAGCAUCGCGGCUCCCCAGCUGGGCAGACGAAAGCGCAUGCGCAGGCGGCCUGUCACAAGCGCCAGCGCUGAGCCUGGACUCGCGUCACAGUAACAGCCACCAGUUGCCUGGGGAACGAUCACAGUGGCUUCCCAAAGCAGCGGUCCUCUGUGGCAGUGCCUCAGCAUCGGGCAACGGACUCUUUCUCCGCGCGAUCAUCGCUGAGUCCUGCGAUUUUAGGAAUCCGGCAGGCCGAGCCAGGCAGAAGAAAGAUCUGUCGGGGCUUCAGGGAUGUCCACGGCGCUCCCCAGGAAUCACCAAGUUGCUGCAGACCUGCCCAAACAGUGUGAGGGUGCCUCUCGUUGAAAGCCCUCGUGGCUGGGAUUUCCAGGUGGCAGCCAGACCCCACUACACUGAGGCUUUGAACACCACCAGGAAAAAGAAGAAUGCAGGGCGCCGCAGCCCCAAACUGAGCCAAACGUUGAUCAGCAGCAGAAAGCUGUUUGCGCAGGUGCUUUUGCGUGCCCAGCUGUGGAGCCACAAUGUUGGCACUGUCCAGCGGAUGCUGCCCAUAUGCACAAAGGAGUCGGUUCCAAGGGCAGCCCCCGAAAAGUCUGCAUGCCAUCACACCAGAGACACAGAACUUGGAAUUGAGAUUUUCUCCUGUGCUCCUUGCAUCUCCUGAAAAAACCAAUAAUGAUCCUUCCUGCGGCUUCAACAUCCACAUCUGUGAGAAAGCCGCUGGCGAGUGUGAUAUUUUCAAGAAGCCACAGUCCAUGUUACCCCCUACAGAGCUCUGAACUUGCGCACUGGUGGGCCUGGCAGCGGUUUUCUCCCCAAAGUGUCUGAACUGCUCUCAUGCUGGAGGGAAAAGAGGGGAGCAGCACAAUGGACAGCGUCUGGAUCUCAGGCCACUUUUCACAGCAACUUAGGAAAUCAGGCUGCUGCCUGGGCUGGAGAAGCCACGAUGCCCAGUAAAGA